GUAUUGAUUGCGUGUGACCGCAAAAGAAACAUUCUACACUGUAUCAAGUUUUAUGUGAAAACGCAAGCCCUCCUGCAAAGGGGGGCCCACGCGGUGAUGCACAAAAGGGGUGAGAUGGAUUGUGUGAGAGUGCUCGGGCGUGCACAACCUUUAAAAGGUCAGCGACAGCCCUUGCACCUCGGUUAUACAAUAAUGAUCCUUCCGCAGGUUCACCUACGGAAA
This 222-nucleotide unclassified non-coding RNA is filed under the name uncultured fungus. Its description in RNAcentral is "sequence contains ITS1". The record is from RNAcentral. Lineage: Eukaryota; Fungi.